Molecule: long non-coding RNA, 34982 nt
Filed under: Gossypium barbadense (sea-island cotton)
Lineage: Eukaryota; Viridiplantae; Streptophyta; Magnoliopsida; Malvales; Malvaceae
Description: long non-coding RNA (GBAR_LNC014013)
Source: RNAcentral
CUCACAAGACCUUAUAUCCAUCCUUCUCCAGCUCCUGAAAACAAACAACAACGGAUCCUUAAACGACGCCGUUACUUCCAUUUUAACCACCAUUUCAAUAACGCGCUCCAUCAGGUCCCGCCUCAUCGAAAACGGCAUCGUUGAAAUCCUAUCAAACUCGCUCACCGAAAAGUCGUUGAAGUUGUUAGCAACGCUUAGCACUUGCAGCGAAGGGAGGUCAGCAAUCAGUUCCGAGCCAAAAUGCGCGGCGGCGAUCGUAGAAAAGCUGUUGAAGGUGUCGAAAAGGGGGACGGAGGACGCCGUAACGGUGUUGUGGAGCACGUGUUGCUUGAACAAAGAGGAGAAAGUGAAAGAAGCGGUGGUAAAAGGGAAUGGGGUGACGAAGAUAUUAGUAAUAAUGCAAAGAGAAGGGGAAGGGAAUGUGAAGAUGAUGUGCAGGGAUUUGGUUAAGGCUCUAAGAGCUGUAUGUAAAGAUUGGUGUUUAGGCAGUUAUGAAACCAAAACUACACAUAUUAGACCUUGUUGAGGAGCAUUCUUUAUUUUUGGACAUAAAUUUACACACAAGAUUCAUGUAGUUACCACUUAGUUCAAAGGAAACACGAUUCUAUGUUUUGUUUUUGUUAGAAACAUUAUUCCUGGAAUUCCCAUCUUCCCUUCCUAUGGGAGCUUUCAACAGGUAGGCGAACCUCACUUGAGUUCACAGGCUGUACCAUUCAACCAUCACAUUUGACCUGCCACUUGGUUUUGGACCGGCUUUUUUAAAUUUUAUUCCACUUAAUUUUUAAAUUUAAAAUAAAAUUUUAUUUAAUUGAUUUGAAUUUAUUAAAAAAUUAAUGGCUAUUGAACUAAAACAUAAUAAACUACUGAAUAAAUUUACAAAUGAUUAUUGAACUAAGAUUACAUUUUUACCACCCAAUUAUCAAAAAUUACAUUGUAAUUAUCCAUCUAUUAACCGGUUAAGUUGACCACCUAUUUGCCAUAUAUCUUAAAUAUAUUUAACGAAAACAAAACCCUAACUCUUUUAAGAUAAAGAAAAACCCUAAUAAACAUUUGCCUAUUUAGAUUGUGGUAUGUGAUGUGAUACAAGUUUUGAUAUAAGUAUUGGCACAACAACAUGAACAAAAUAGAAAACAUUAGAAUGAACACAAAUAAAUUGGUAAUGUAAUUCAGUGCACCAUCAACUUGUGCGAGACCUUGCCUAGAGAAAUCCAUUGCUAAACUCAUGAUAAAAACAAUGAUUCAAGUCCAAUAUAUUUUAACCCUCGGAUAAUUACAGACUCACCCAAAUGCAUUUAGUACGAACUCUCUCUAAACAACCUCUCCUUGUAAAGGCUCUUAACUAUUCAUUCAAAGAUGAAUAAAAAAUAAAAUAUGCAUUCAAUAAAAGUUAUUUACCAUGAACAUAUAACCGCUCCCUAAAUUUUAUUAAAAAAAAAAUCUAAGUACAUCCAAUUUUAUCCCACGAAUCAUCCAUAUAUAUAUAUAUAGGCUUUAAAUAAUCUCAAAAUCAUCCCCAUGUAAGAUGAGAUAAAAUUAAUUUAAUUUGAAAAGAUUUAUCUUGAAAUUUCAUAUCCAAGCAUUUUUAAAUAAACUAUUUUCAAGCCUUUAUAUGAUUUUCAAUUUUAAAUCUAUGUUUGGACUAAAAUUCUUCAUAAGCUUGCUGCAAAGUUAUAUUAUGAGAUAAUGAUAGAAGGUCUUUAAGGAUCAUAUUUGAAAUCGAACUCUUCUAUCUUGGAGCCAUGUGUUACAUCAAGUACAUAGAUAACCCAUGUAUAUCCUCCGUUUUUGUUGCUUAUAAGAUAACUAUAAAGAUAUAUACAAAGUUAAAAACUUUCAACAAUAAAACUGAUGCAUAGUCAAGUUGUGGUUUGUAGCACAAACAUUUUUGACAAAACCUCUCCAACAAAAACAAGAACAGUAGGAAACAAGAAUCACAUGUUAAAAGAAUUUCAAACUGAAUGAAAACCUGGAUAGCAGCUUCGUCUAUGUCCUCCUCUUCGACUAAAAUCUAAAGCAGUUGUGGUAGUAGGUGUGCCAACAUUAAAUACCACAUGGUUUUGGGUUGCAUAGAUAAAGAAGAAAGUUUUAGAUUACUGGAGGAGAGAUAAAUAUGAUUUCAAGUUUUAGAUAGAAACUCUUCUAUCUUGGAGCCAUGUAUUACAUCAAGUAUAUAAAUAACCUAUGUAUAUCCUACGUUUUUGUUGCUUAUAAGAUAACUAUAAAGAUAUAUACAAAGUUAAAAAUUUUCAACAAUAAAACUGAUGCAUAGUCAAGUUAUGGUUUGUCAUGGGACACAACUUGUAGCCCAAAUCAUUAUAUAUAUUAACAAUCACGACAUUUGACAUUUUUGACAAAACCUCUCCAACAAAAAUAGUAGGAAACAAGAAUCACAUGUUAAAAGAAUUUCAAACUGAAUGAAAACCUGGAUGCAGCUUCGUCUAUGUCCUCCUCUUCGACAAAAAUCUAAAGCAGUUGUGGUAGGAGGUGUGCUAACAUUAAAUACCACAUGGUUUUGGGUUACAAACACUACAACAAAACAGGCUAUUAGCGGCGCUUUUUCACAUAAACGUCGCUAAAGAGCAUGACCUCUUUAGCGGCGCUUAUAUCACAAACACCGCUAAAGAUCAUGUUCUUUAGCGGCGCUAAUUUUUCAAACGCCGCUAAAGAACAUGACCUUUAGCGGCGCUUUUUCAUACAUGCCGCUAAAGGUGAUGUUCUUUAGCGGCGCUAUUGUUACAAACGCCGCUAAAUGUCAUGUUUUUUAGCGGCGCUUUUCACCAUAAACGCCGCUAAAGACCAUGACAUUUAGCGGCGCUUUUUACCACAAUCACCGCUAAAGAACAUCACCUUUAGCGGCGCUUUUAUCACAAACGCCGCUAAAGGUAUGUUCUUUAGUGGUGCUUUACGGUAAAUGCCACUAACUUUGGCAGAUUUCUAACAUUCAUUUUCAUCCAUAUGCGACCCUUCUUGUAACAUGAAAACCAACCAAAAGCAGCAAAUUCAAAUGAUACUUCAAAUUCAACAAAAGAUAUAUAUAAAUUGAUAAAUGAAGUAUAAUUCAUAUUAUUCUUACAAUAAUGUUAAAAGUUAAAAUGCUAAAAAUAUUUAUACGGUAGUCUAAGAUGGCGAAUUUUACGACUGCUGAAACAUCUUCAUCAUAUUGUGAAGUUGUUGUUGGAGUUCGUCGUACUUUCUGCUCUGCUCUGCUUCCCUCGCUGCUGCCUCUGCUUCCCUCGCUGCUGCCUCUACUUCCCUCGCUGCUGCCUCUGCUUUAAGUUGUAGCUGGAGUGCUUCAUAUUUUCUUUGAACCUCAGCUUCUCUCGAUGUUGCCUCUACUUUAAGUUGUAGCUGGAGUGCUUCAUAUUUUCUUUGAACCUCAGCUUCUCUUGAUGCUGCCUCCUUUUUUGAUUGAGUAAUUUGCUCAACUGUGCUCGCUUGCAUCUGAGCCAUCUGGUCUCUUAACCUCUGAACUUCAGCUUGAGCCUAACUCCCCAAAGGCAUGUAUUGCUGCGAGUUGGAUCCAAAAUAUUGGGUUGGGUUAACAAAAGAUCCUUGAAAUCGAACUCGACUGUACCUUUUAGGACCCAAAACUUCAGUAAUAAUCCGGUUAUCAAUGUCAUCAAGAUGAACAAAACUAUCACUCGAAGCAAUUGUUUCGUACUCUGACUUUUUAUCAUUUAGUUUCUCCUAAUAAAUAAAUCAAAUAGUUAGAAACGCAAUAUAUAUUAUAAAAACAAAUGCAUUAUAAAAUAAACACUAUAAAUAUUUAAAACAUAUCAAAUUUUAUUAAGUAAACAUACCAUAAUAUUUGCAGCUUUAGGAGUCAUAGGAGAUCCAUCUUUCUUCCUAUGUGUAAUGUCAAAAAGCUUAAGGCGUCCAACUUUUUGACCGGAUGACAGUUCCUACAAUAUAGUAGUAAAAAUAUUAUUUAAUGGAAAGUAAUAAAUAUUUGACACUAUUAAUAAAUUCAAAAUACCUCAGCCUCAGCUACACAAGCGAAACUUUUUGACCCAACUGUGUGAGUGAAUUUCUGUUUUUGCCUGCUGCUUUUUCCAACUCGUUCACGAUCCUACAUUAUGAAAUUAUUAUUACGUAUAUAGUAAAUACUAUAAACCGAAAUAAUUAUAAGAGUUUGGAAGUACGUAAUACCUCUCCUUUCUUUGAAUUCCAAAAUCUAACCGCAUCUUCUCAUUGGUACCUCAGUAUUCCCGGCGGGACAUUUUGCAAUUUCUCUUCGAGGGUUGUUUUUGUCUUAAAAUAAUUUUUCUUUAAAGUACUUUUAUGGUCUCUCCAUCUUUUUCCCAAUGCCUUCUUGACAUAAUUAUCCAAGACCUCUAAAGCAAACCUCACCUACAAAAAAAACAAGUUUAGAAAGUAAAUAUAAAUGAAACUUAAAGCCAAGUAUUAUAAAUUACAUUAACGUUUUAUUACCUUAAUAUUAUCGAGAGCUUGAUUUUUGUUACUAUCAGGCAUUUCUUGCCAUGACUCGUAGUUGAUAGGCAACAUAUUUGCAUUUCGUGCUAUUAUGCCCAAAUAUCCUGCUAAAAGUCGAGCUUCUGAUCCAACAGGCUGACCAAAACUGUUUCUACAUACUUUGACAUGCUCGACAGGAUCUAACUCGUAUAAAUCUUUAAGUAGCGUACAUCCUCAACCUCUGCGCGUCCCACCACUUUCAGCUGAAAAAUGGUAUAUUAUAAUAUAAGAAUUUGAAAAAGAAAUCAACAAUAAGUCAACACGCAUGUAAAUUAAAUGUAAAAUUACUUUGAAUUUCUGUAGGUUCGUCAGGUGUAUUCGGAACAUUCGAAGAUCCAAUAGCAGUCUGUUGUUCACUAUUUGUUUCUUUCGAGUUUGGAGUAUUUUGAAUAAUGCUUAGAUCUCGCAAUUUUCUUCUAGGCAUUUUAUCUGCAAUACACAUAAAAUAGUUGAAAACUUAGUAACUAAUUACAACAAUAAUAGCACAUAUAAAAUAGUUGAAAUAUUUAAUAAGACCAAGAUUUAAAUUAUGAUAUUUUGUAUAAUUAAAAAACCGUAAAAUCUUACUACAUCAUAAUUCGUAAAUAUCUUCAUCCAUAUCCUGGCGAACCCAUUGAAAUUCUGUACUAGUACUAGAGAUAUUUUCGUUUAAGUUUUGUUCUGGAAAAGGAAAAAUUUCUGAUCUAUCGUCGAUGUCAUCUCUACUUCCAUUGCCCAUGUCAAACAAGUCUCUAGGGAUGUUACGGAGCACAACGUACCAACCCUCAUCAGUUGGAUCUUUUGUAUAAAAAACUUGUUUCACUUGAGAAGAAAAUACAUACGACUCAUCUAUCAAUUGUUGUCAUGUGUGAAUCAAUCGAGAGAAGUUUACCAUUGUAAAACCAAAUUGAUCUUUCUUAAUUCCACGAGCAGUAUUAACAUCAGCCCAAUCACCUCAAAAUAAGACAACUUUUCAUUUGCCGUAGUAAUCCAACUCAAUUAUGUCAAUAAGAAGUCCGAAAUACUCCACAUUUCCCUCAACAGGAUUAUUGUCCCUAGCACUAGCAUAACUUGUAAUUGAGGAAUUAACAACUAUUCCACAAUUUUGAGUUCUCCUCAAUCUCUCGCAAUAUUUUGUAUGAAAUCUGAAUCCGUUGAUGAGGAAGGCACUAUAUCUUUUAACCACUCUAUUCGAACCUUGGGAAAUCCAUUUAACUUCGUCAUUAACGUUCUUCCCACUCCAAACCUAUUGAAUCGAAAGUAAACUGAGUAAUUAUAAAUGUUAUGAGAAAACAUUAUUAUUUGUCAAUUAAAGCUUUAAUUGCAUACCGUUUGGCUUAACCAUUCAUGAAAAGAUUCUGUGAACAACUUAUUGAUCUCUUGAUGUUGUAAUCUUCGGGAGCACGAACGAGAUCUCAAGAUUUGUUUGUACUUACUAUGUUAAAAAUGUUCACUUUGUUAGAAGAUAAAACAAUUUAUAAUUGAUGAAUAUUUAUCAAAUUCUAGAACUUACUUCCGUAAUGGUUCCAUUGAAUCGUGGUGAAACAAAACAUAUCGAUGUGCUUGUACCCACGAUCUAUCAUCUAAUUCUACAAUUUCAACUUUGCCGAUUGGUUCUCCAAAACUUUGAAACAAAUAAGUUUCAGCGAAGUUAUGAUCAAUGAGCCCAGAAUUUCUACUUGGUCUGUUCAACCUUGUUUCAACACCUUCCAAAUAUCUUGAACAGAAAGUCAUACAUUCCUCUGCCAAGUAGCCUUCCGUAAUCGAUCCUUCUGGAUAACGCUUGUUGCGGCAGUAAGACUUCAAUUUGGAUAGGAACCUAAACACAAUAUACAACAUUAUCAAAACUUGUAACUAAAAGCAUAUUGGUGAAUGAAGGAAAAUUUUACAAAUAAAUUAACACCUUUCUAUGAGAUACAUCCAUCGAUAGAAAACGGGUCCACCGAGUAUUGCUGAAAACCAUAAACCAUAACCCCUAUCCUGAAAACCAUAAACCCUAGACCUUAGACACUAGAUCAUAGACCUUAAACCCUUAAACUUUGAACCCACAAACCCUAAACAAUAACCCACAAACCUUAAACCCUAAACUCUAAGCCCUCUUAUCCCUUAAACCCUAAAUUUUAAACUUAUAAAUUAUAAACCCCUAACCCUUAACCCCUAACUCUUAACCCCUAACACUUAAACCCUAAGUACUAACCCUUAAACCCUAAACCCUAAACUAUAUUUCCUAAAACUUUAACCCAUAUCCCCUAAACCUUGAAUCAUAAAACAUUAACUAUAAACCCUAAACCCCUAACCCUUAACCUCUAACACCUAAAACCUAAACCCUAACCCUUAAACCAUAAUCCCUAAACCCCUAACCCAUAUCACUUAAACCCUGAAUCAUAGAACAUAUAUAAACUAUAAACCUUAAACCCAAAAUCAUAAAACAUAUAUAAACUCUAAACUCUAAACCUUAACCCUUAAAUAAUAAACAGUAAACAAUAAACCCUAAAUCCAUAAUCCCUAAACCACUAAUACCUCUAAAGCUCAACAAAAAAAGAGCUUGUUUUGCUAAACUAUUUGCGGCGUUUUCAAAAAAGCACCGCUAAUGCUUGACUUCUACGGCGUUUUUCUAAAAGCGCCAUUAAUGUGUCUAAAGUUAAAAAAAAAUGUCGUCGUUCGCUUAAAAACUUCUGCGGCGCUACCCAAAAGGCGCCGCUAGUGCUUGACUUUUGCGGCAUUUUCUAGAAAGCGCCACUAAUGUCUCUAAAGCUAAAAAAUAAAACGAUGUCGUUUGCUUAACACUUUUGCGGCGCGUUAGGGAAAGCACCGCUACUGCUUGACUUUUGCGGCGUUUUUUGAAAAGGCCACUAAUGUCUCUAAAGCUUAACAAAAAAACGACAUCGCUUGCUUAAAACUUUUGCGGCGCUUUUUGCUAAUACUUGACUUUUUGCGACGUUUUCUAAAAAGUGCCACUAAUGUCUCUAAAGCUAAAAAAAACGAUGUCGUUUGCUUAGAACUUUUGCAGCGCUUUUGAGAAAGUGCCGCUAAUACUUGACUUUUGCGGCGUUUCUUGAAAGCACCACUAACGUCUUUGAAGCUCAACAAGUAAACAACAUCGUUUGGCUUAACUCUUUUGCGACGCUUUUGAGAAAGCGCCGCUAAUGCUUGACUUUUAUGGCUUUUUUUAAAGGCACCACUAAUGUCUUUGAAGCGCAACAAGAAAACGACAUCAUUUGGCUUAACUCUUUUGCGGUGCUUUUAGGGAAGCGCCGCUUUUGCUUAUAUUUUGCGGCGUUCAUUUAAUUUCGCCGCGAAUGCUCGAUUUGUUGUGGCGUUUUUGUUUAAAACGCCGCUAUGAACGCUACUAAAAGCCUGUUUUGUUGUAGUGAAAGAUAAAGAAGAAAGUUUUAGAUUACUGGAGGAGAGAUAAAUAUGAUUUCAAGGUCAAAUUUUCUCAUCUCAAAAUUUUUUUAAUUUUAUAGAAUGAAUAUAUUUAAUUAUUUUAAGUUUAUUCCUUGUAUUUAAUUACUUUUGCAAUGCUAUUGUGUAUUUUACUUGCGAAUAAACAGAUAAUAUAUAUUUUCUCAUUAUUUUUUUAUUGUAUUUGCAAUUGGGUAAACCUAUAAUUUAGUCUUAAAGUUGUACCCAAUCAUUAUUUUGGUACUUAAAUUUGCAUUUUAUCAAUUUGGUAUCUAAAGUUUCAAAACAUUAUUUCCAUUGCUCCAAGACUUAAUUACAUUUAAAAAAACUGAUGUGGCACGCUCUCAACAAGUUACUUCAAUUAAAAAAUAAAAAAAAUUAGAAAAAUCUUAAGUUUUUUAAGAAAAUCAGAAAAAAAGUAUAAAAAUUUCCAAAACAUUUUAGAGCGACAUGGCUAGUUGGGAGCACGUCAUAUUAGUAAUUCUUUAAAUAUCAAAGUGAUAAAUUAUUUGUGACGAUUAGCAAAGUAAUAAUUAGACAUAAGUUUGAAAACUAAAAUAUGGUUGAACCCUUUGCAAUUUGCUAAUAUCAUAUGAUGUUGAAAUUUCUUAUUUUAUAACAAAAUGUGAUAAUUACAUUUUAGAAAUUACGGUUAUAAGUAUACAUUAUUAAAUUAAUUUUAAAAAUAUAUUUAUUUUAAAUUCAGAUUACAUUUCAAGAUUUUGAGUUCGGGUUAGAUGAAUUUAAGUUAUUGCAUUUUUUAUAGUUAAAUUCAAGUUAAUGCCAUCAUAAUUUUUUAGGUGUUCACUUGAACCCAAAUCUCUCAUGUCGAACUGGUCUUAUUUACUCGACCUUUGUAAUUUGCGAUUCUGUUUUCCUUGAAAGCCUUCUUUACUAUGGUUUGCCAUUGACAUUUUGGUGAUUGAGAUCAUGCUCCAAAGCCUCAUAAUAUAUGCAUAUUUGAAGGAUAAAUCUCCUUUGAAGGAGUAAUUCCAACCCCACCUAUCAAUUUAUGUUAGAAUAUUUUACUUAAUUUUAUAAUACAAAAUUAAAUAAUAUUAUAUAUUUAAGGUAAUUAUUUGGUUAUUAUAUUUAGUAAAAAAAUAAAUAUAAAAAAAUUUCUCAAAGGUCCUUAGUAAACAUUAAUUUCGUCUCUACGAUGGUUGUGAUUUAUUGGAAGUUCUUUAAGCAUAUAGUGUUAGCAUAAAUAAUGGCUUCUAAUAGAAAGCAACAGAAAAGAUCGAAUAUAAAUAGCUCCAGCCAUUACUGGAGCCAAAUGCCAAAAUCCAAAUGUUGUUACACCACUGUCAAGCAUGUCGAAUUUAGCUGUACGAAAAACUGAAAAUCGAUUAUGUAACAGCCCGAUUCUGGGUCUAGUCGGAAUAGUGGUUUCGGGACCACAAAUCCGACGAGAGAAAAUAUGAUUAUUAUUAUAUUUUCAUGGUCUACAAUUUUACGGAAAAAUUUCGUAAAAAUUUCGUUCGAAAAUUUCGACGUCUGGGCACUCAAUUUAGUCAAAAGGACUAAAUUGUAAAAAGUGAAAAAGUUGAGUUCUACAUGGUAGAAGUGUCUAAUUGUUAUGAAAUUAUAAAUUGGGGGUCCUUAUAUGGUAAUUAGACCAUUAGUUAAUUGAUGGACAAAAAUAGACAUAAGAAAUGAGUGAAAUAGAUUUUUUUUAAAUGGGGGCAUUUUAGUCAUUUAGUAAUAAAAAGAAUUAAAAAGGGAAAAAGAUGGCAAAAUGUGCUCAUCUUCUUCAUGGUGAACGAAAUCAGCAAGAGGAAGCCAUAGUUAUGGUUUUUAAGCUUCCAAGCUCAAUAGUAAGUGAUUCCAAGCCCCGUUUUUAAUGUUCUUUACAUUUUUGGAGUCCCGGUAACUUAAUUUAGCUUAUUCUAUCAAUAAUUCGUGUUAGGGUUCAUAUUUGGAAAAAUACCCAUAGGUGAAAUGUGUUUUUUUGCUGUUUUAUGGUGGAAUAUGAAGCUAGAAAUUAUGUUAAACAACGUUUUCUAAGCGAUUUUAAACGAAAACGGGUAAAUUGACAUAAUCGGUAAAAAUAUUUAAUGUUCAAAAGUAUGUGUUAGAGUGAGAAUUUGAUGUUUCUAUAGAAGGGAAAAAUGUUCAGCAUGUCAUAAAACCUAAGAAUAAGUGAUGAAGUUUAAUUUCCGAGCUUAGGGACAAAAGUGUAAAUAUGUAAAAGUUUGAGGGCAAAAUUGUAAAUUUUCAAAAAGUUGGGUGGAGGAUUAUUUUAAUAAAUGUGAACAUUAAACGAGUUAAAUUUGCUAUUAUAGAUCAAGAGAGACGGGAAGAUUAUCUCAAACGAGGAAAAGAAAAGAUAGUGGAGUGAAUUGCAAAAUUACGAUAUUUUGCACCGAGGUAAGUAAACAUGUGACUUAAUGUAUUAUUUUGAUAUUAUUUGAUUUGUGUUGAGAUUUAUUUGAAUAUAAAAUAAAUGUUUGGCAAGAUUCCAAAAAUGUUGUUAAAUUGGGAAAGGUGGUAAGGGGUUGCAAAACACGGUUUUUGGUUGAACACUCGGAAUAGGUCGAAGCAUAUUGCAUAUAAAGGGGUUGCUGUGUGUUGAUUCCCCGAUUCAUUGGUGGUUGCUAAGUGCUGAUUCCACCGCAUCUGAAAUGUGAAGGGGAUUGCUAAGUGCUGAUUCCCCCAACGGGUUGCUGUGUGCUGAUUCCCCGAUUCAUUGGUGGUUGCUAAGUGCUGAUUCCACCGCAUCUGAAAUGUGAAGGGGGUUGCUAAGUGCUGAUUCCCCCAAGGGGUUGCUGUGUGCUGAUUCCCCGAUUCAUUGGUGGUUGCUAAGUGCUGAUUCCACCGUAUUUUAAAUGUGAAAGGGGGUUACUAAGUGCUGAUUCCCCCGAGGGGUUGCUAAGUGCUGAUUCCCCUAUUCAUUGGUGGUUGCUAAGUGCUGAUUCCACCGCAUCUGAAAUGUGAAGGGGGUUGCUAAGUGCUGAUUCCCCCAAGGGGUUGCUGUGUGCUGAUUCCCCGAUUCAUUGGUGGUUGCUAAGUGCGGAAUCCACCGAUAACGGUUAACAUUCUGAGUGUUCAACGAGUAAAUUGGGAAGCUGAAUAUUCAUAUAUGUGGUGGACAAGUUUAUGGGAGGGAUAUUGGGUUUGAUACUUAAUCAACCCAUGUAUAAGAUGAGAGGAAAAUCAAAAAUACAAAAAGAGACAAUUUGAAUGCAAAACUGUUUUGAAUGACAGCAGUUGGGCAACUAUGAAAAAUCACUAUAAAUGGUGGGAAAUGAAUUAGAGGUUAAAUAAUAUAUGAAAUUAAAGCUGAAUGAGUCUAUUUUCAUAUGAAAGAAAUAGAGCAAGCAAAAGAGUUGUAUUUUUGGAGAUAUUUGAAUUUUACUGAGACAGGGCUGGAUUGAUUUCGAAAUCCCCUGUUCUAACUUUGGAAAAUCACCAAAAAUUAUAAAAAAAUAAUUAUGACUUGAAAUGUAUAUUCCUGGAUUCCUUUUUGAGUCUAUUUUUAAUAGAAACAAACGAGAACAUUGUUUGAAACUUUUACAGAUAGUUAUGUGAAUUUUUGUAAGGGAAGGUCAGGACUGUCGGGUAGUGAAAUAGGGGAAGCUUUAAAGAAUAAACUGUACUAAUUUGCUUGACAAAAAAUUCUGAAAAUUUUAUGAUAGAAAUAUAUAUGGGUAUAGUUUCAGGGAAAAUUUACAAAAUUCAAUUUGGAGCCCUGUAUCUCCGGAUAAAAAUAAAUUUGUGGUCAUGACGCAGAAAACCAGCUUGCUGGAAAUUACACAAACAAUGAAAUUUAUUUGUGAAUAAAUUUAUACUAUGGUGUAGUCAUGUGAGAAAUUUAUUUAUUUGUCAUAUGUUUACUUACUAAGCUAUAUGCUUACUCGUUUUUAUUUUUCCCUGGAUUAUAGUGAUUUCCAUCAACUCGGAAUUGAGACGGAGUCAGACAAUCAUCUACACUAUCAUCCACGUUUGGGUAUUUUGCUACUAGUAUUCCGGAAAUUAUGACAUGUAUAGAUGACUUAUGUAAUGGGGCGUCACCAUGUAAAUAUAUGUUAUGGUUCGAUUUAAAAUGUAGUGUUUAUUAAUGGUUAAAUUGUGUAUGUUUAUACAACUGAACUUGGUUGGAAUAUUGAAUUGUGUUUGAAAACUUGCAGGAGGUUUAAGCAAAAAUAAGCAGAAAUGCUGUCGAAAUUUUUUUAAAAAUUUAGUAAUACCUCAUACUCUAUUCCGAUCAGGAAUGCGGGUAAGGGGUGUUACAGAUUAAGUCUUCUAAGCACUCGAAAACCUCACUAGAUGAUGUAUAUAAUUCUUUAUCUUUCAAAUGAAAUUGCUUUAGUUUUUUUUUUUGUGCUUAACGACCUUAUGCUAGUUGGUAUUUAUAGUGGUGGUUCCUUAUAAAAAACACCAACUACACAUCCCACUAUCUCACAUACAAACCUGUGAAAGUUGAGGACAACAAAAGUGGGAAUGGGCAGCAAAACAUGAAGGUUAUUCCUACGAACCAAUAAUGGUUCCAACACUUUCCCACUUGGUUUGUAUUGCCAUGAGUACUUAAAGUCAAAAAAUAGUGCACAAAUCAUGGCGAUAUUUUCUCUUAGAAUUUGACUAGUAUCUUCCAUGUAUCACAAUAUAUCAUGUCUCAACGCUUUAGCCCAAGUUUUUUAAUAAAUAAACCCAAUGUUUAUUCCAAGUUCAAACUUUAGUGAUAGUUCUCGAAAUAAUCAAAUUAAAGUGUGCACAAAAUUUGCAUCAAAUUUGAGACACAUCAAACUUAAUAGAGUUUCUUUAUAAUCAUUUUUAUAACGAAAUUUACAAUGUGGGAACAAGUCCCAUAGUGACAACAUGAUCCUUAAAUUUGUGUGGUGGCAUGCCUUUAGUCAAAUGAUCAACUAACAUCUGCUCAGUGUUAAUGUGAUCAAUGAUCACUUCUUUUCUUUAACACAUUCCCUUAUGGCUAAAUACUUAAUGUCGAUAUGUUUAUUUCAACUUCCACUUUUAAUGUUCUUAGCCAUAAAUACAACACUUGAAUUGUUACAAUAUAUCAUUAAUACCUAGAAAUCGAAUCCUCAAGUCUAAACCCAAAAAUGAAUGAACCAUACUCCAUGUGAGGUAGACUUAAAACAUGACAUGAACUCAGCCUCCAUAGUGGAAGUAGUAGUUAAGGUUUGUUUGACACUCUUUCAAGAUAUAGCUGCGCCAGCAAAUAUAAAUAUGUAACCUGAUGUUAAUUUACAUGAAUCAACACAACUGAUAAAGUCUGAAUUGGAGUAGCCAAUCACCUCCAAAUUGUUUGAUCGUUUGUACACAAGCAUGUAGUACUUUGUCCAUUUAAAAUAUCUCAAAACUUUAUUUGCAGCUCUUCAGUGGUCAAUACCUGAAUUACUCUGAUAUCUUCCCAACUUCCAACUGCAAAUGCAAUGUCAGGUCUUGUGCAGACUUGAACAUACAUCAAGCUUCCAACAGCAAAAGCUUAUGCAAUGUUUUUCAUCUGCUUCCACUCAAAUUUUUUCUUUGGGCACUGGUUUAAAUUAAAUUUAUCACCUUCCAUGAUAGGAGCAACACUCAGUGAAUAAUCUUUCAUUCGAAAUCUUUCUAACACUUUGUUGAUGCAGGUUUCUUGAGAUAAACUUAAGAUACUGCGAUGCCUAUCACGAUGAAUCUUAAUGCCAAUGACAUAAGACGCAUCACCCAUAUCUUUCAUAUCAAAAUUUUUAGAAAGAAAUUGUUUCACCUCAUAUACCAUGUCCCUGUCAUUUGUUGCAAGUAUAAUGCCGUCCACAUAUAAAAUAAGGAAACAUAUUUUACUCCUAUUAACCUUUUGGUAUAUGCAUUGAUCCAUAAUAUUCUCAAACAAACCAAACGGAGAUAUUACUUCAUUGAAUUUUAAAUACCAUCGUCGGGAGGCUUGUUUCAAUCCAUAUAUAGACUUCUUCAGCUUGCAUACCAAGUGUUCACCUUCACUAGAGGAGAAUCAUUCAAGUUGUUUAAUGUAUACCACUUCCUUUAGGUCACCAUUGAGAAAUGAAAUUUUCACAUCCAUUCGAUGCAACUCAAGGUCAAAGUGAGCUACUAAUGCUAACACAAUGCACAAUGAAUCUUUCUUAGAUACAAGACUAAAAGUCUCAGUAUAAUCGAUCCCUUCUUGCUGAGUGAAUCCUUUCCCAAUGAGUCAAGCUUUAUGUCUUUCCAUGUUACAUAUUAAGUCUAUUUUUGUUUUGAAGACUCAUUUACAUCCAAUGGCGUUUACACCUUUAGGAAAUGACAAAAGAUCCCAAACAACAUUAUUUUUGAUGGAAUAGCAUUGUACCACAAUUUUGACUCUUUGCAACUAAUGGCUUGUGAAAAUGAUUCAGGAUCAUUCUCAGCUUUAAUAUUAUAGUCAAACUCUUACAGAUACACAAUAUAGUCAUUAGAAAUUGUUGAUUUCCUUUCCCUAGUAGACCUUCUCAAUAUUGAACCAACAUUUUCUCGUGGAUCAUGUUGUUUAGCUGAUAGUUCAAUAAUUUUUGAAUUUUCUUGAACUGCUUGAUCUACUAGAGUGUUUUCACCUGCUUGUGGAUUUUCAUUGAUUGGUUGUUCAACACCUGGUUGAGCUUGAGAGGUGUUAUGUAUGAUAACUAAUCUCACUUAAAGUGGAAGGUUAACUUACAAGAAUUGUGUCUCGAGACAGAUCGCUCCCACUGAUUAAGUCAUUCGCAAGAGAUUUUGCAUUUCUUGAUUCCAUAAUACCUAGUGUUUUAUAAACUAAAACAAUACCUAAAAGGUGCAAGUCUUGAAAUAGAAACUAAAUUUCUAGAAAAAUUGGGAAUAUAAAAAUUCUUUUCUAAAAUUAAAAUAAAGUCACUGCUAAGCACUAAUUCGCAUGUUCCAAUUGCUUCCACAUGCGACUCCAUCUUAUUUCUUGAAUAGAUGUGUCGCUCAGCUUCCACUGGUUCCCUCAGGUUUCUUAAUCUUUGUAAGGAAUUUGAUAUAUGAAUUGUAGAACCAGAAUCAGUCCACCAUGUGUUAUAACUGACAUCAACCAUAUUGGACUCAAAUCAAACAAGUGAGAUUGAUUUACCUUUAUUUUCAAGUCAGGUCUUAAACGUUACACAGUCUUUUUUUUAAGUGUCCCUUCUUUUUACAGAAAAAACACUUGGACUCUUUCUUUAUGUCAGUUUGGGGUUGCAUUUUGGCCUUCCCCUUUUUCUUGGCUUGGGCUGUCUUCUUUCCUUGAGUAAUCGACAAUGCACUCUCUCCCUUCUCCAGUAUGAGUCUAGCCUCUUCCUGAUCACACAUGGUCAAAAUCUCAUCGAUAGAACACUUAUCCUUGUGUGUUAUAGGAGAUCUUAAAUUGCUCGUACUGAGGUGGAAGAGUGUUCAAUAUAAUGUGCACCAAGAAAGAUUCAGACAUUUCAACCUCAACUGCUCUCAGUCGAGCUGCUAAAUCUCUCAUCUUUUUUAUAUGAUCAUGUACACCUUUCACGGUAGUGAGCUUCAUUGAUGUGAACUUCAUGAUUAGGGUGCUAGUUAAUGACUUUUGUGAAGUUUUGAAUUAUUUUUCAAUAGUUUUUAAUAAUUCUUGGACAUUCUCAUAAUGCUCAAUUGAGCCACAAACAUCAAUCAGAACCUUACUCUUUAUGAACAUGAUUGUAACAGCUCGAUUUUGACCCUAUUCGAAAUGGUGGUUUCGAGACCACGAAUCUGAGCCAGAGAAAUAUUUUAAAAUUUAUUUUUGGUGUUUAUACCGUGUGAAUUUGUGUAUGCCAAAUUUUCGGUUUGGAAUUUUAUCGUUUGAAUGUCUGAUUUAUUAAAACAACUUAAUUGUGUAAGUUAUGAAAGUUGCUAACUAUUUAUUAAAGUGUUAAUUUGCUAUUGUCUUUAUAGUGUGGGGUCCUUAAAAGGAAAUUAUUCCAUAAUUAAAAGAAUUGGACAUAUAUAAGUUUAUUUUAUAAUGAUUUUACAUUAAAUAAUAAAUGUUAAAUUUGUAAAUAUAUUAAAUAUAUUAAUAAAAUAUAUAAAAACAUGUAUUAGUUCAUCUUUAUUUUUUUAUUGACCGAAUAUAGCUAAAGAAAAGGAGAAAGAAAAGGUUUAAGGUUUCGGCGCUUUGAAGCUUGAAUUUAGGUAUGUGUUUAGCUCAUUUUUUUUGUUAAUUUUUACGGUUUUGAUAUCGUUGCUUCGAAUACUACUCGACCCAUGCUUGAAUUUUUAAAUUUGGUAAUGAUUUUGUAUUUUUGUCAUUGUUGAAAGCUUGUGACUUUUGUUUUAGAAGUUAGAAAAUAAAAGAAAUGAGGUAGAUAAACAUAUGUUGUAUUUGAAUUUUUGAUGAUUUUGAGUAAUUAGAGCUAAAUUGCAAAAAUAAUAAAUUGAGGGACUAAAAUGUGAAAUAAAUGAAAUGUAUGGACUUAUAUGAGCUUAGUGAAUAUUCGACCAAGCUAUUGUGUAAUGAAAUUUUGUUUAUUUUGUAUUUUGUGAAAUAGGGACUAAUUUGUAAUAAAUGUGAAAUGUUAGGGGUAAAAGUGUAAUUUACCUAUUUAUGUGUUUAUGGAUGAAUUUGAUGGAAUAUAUGAUUAAAUAAGCUUAAAUUAUACAAAUUUAGAUCAAGAAAAGAGGAAAUUGGAAUUGGAUCAGGGGAAUUUCUGCCUCACAAUCCGUGCGACCUUAGGUAGUCUCUUGUUUCCAAAAAGGCCUAAGUUAGCCUAACUCCCACGAGUUGAGGAUUCAAUAGAAUUCCCCUUUGAAAACUAACACAAACGAAAGCCACUCAAAGAUAAAACAAAGAUGAACAAAGAACGAUAUAAGAACAAGCCACAAAAUACCAAGAACACAAGAGAGAAGAGUUGGAGAAAAUACUCUCAAGAAUUCUUAUUACUCUGCCAAAACUUCUGUGAUUUACAAAUGAGGGGAGAGGCCUCUAUUUAUAGUAGAGCCUCCCCAAAUCCAACGGUACAGAUGGAAUAGUCAUCCCGGUUCAUCCGUCUUCGUCCGAGGUAAGUCUAUAAGCACAUAAAUGUUGUUAACUUUAAAUAAUUGUGAAUUUGAAAUGUUGAAUUGAAUUUAUGUGUAUAUAAAUAUGAGAUAGCCGAAUGUAUAUGUAUAUGUAUAUAGAAAUAAUAUGUAUAAGUUUGAUUCGAUCGAAAUACGACGUACGAAAGUCCUAAGUGAACCAAAGGAAUUCCGAUAAGUGUUAUUGUGUAAGACCCUGUGUGGGAUAGCGACAUCAAUUUGUAAUUGUGAGUAAGACCCUGUGUGGGAUAGCAUCAUCGCUAUGUGAUUACAUGUAAAACCACGUGUGGGACAUUGGCACUAUACGAUAAAUAUGAUUAUUCGAGUAUUCUAUUUAGUUUUGAAUGGUUCAGCAGGCAUGUAAUGGCCUAAAUUCAAGGUUAUCGAAACAGUGGUUUCGUAGCCACAAAUUUGAUUUAAAGAUAAAUUUAUUUUAAUAUUUUUGCAUGAAUAUUGAUAUCAUAGGAAAAUCGUAUGAAAAUAUAGAUAGAAGAAUUUUACCGAUUUAGUGGUUAGUUAGAAAAAGAAAUUAUUGAAGAAAUUGAGUAAAAACAAGGUAUUGAGACCUCGAUCCCGUAAAAUCAAGUCACAAAUAUUUUUAUAAAUAUUUAUGAAGUGUUAGUAAUAUGGUAUUAAAUUUUUGUUAGAAAAUUUCUACGUUUGGGUAGUUAAUUAAGUGAAAAAGAGUAAAUUGAAAAGGGUGUAAAAGUUACUAGAAGGAUUAAAUAAUUCAAUUGUUAAAUGAGAAGAGACAUAAAUUGCAAAUAAGCCCAAAAUGAGAUAUUUUGGGCGGCCUAAGCUAAGAAAAAUCAGGAGAAUUGGUGAAAUAAGGGUAAAAUGGGAAACUAACAAAUUUUACUAACAUAAAAAUAUGACCAAAUUGGAAUAUCUAGAAUUCUCUUCAUAUUUUCUUCAUUAUCAUCAGCCAAAAAACGUCCUAGGGGUUUAUUCAAGCCAGUACUUCAUAAUUUUUGCACCAAGUGAGUUAAUCCUUGCCUUUUUCUUAUAAUUUUUGUGUUUCUAAGACUUUUACAACUAGGUCCUAUUACUAAAUUCAUUAGUUUUUGAUUUUAUGAAUGAAAUUGAAAGUUUCUAUGAAUAUGUGCUGGAAGUUUAUGAUGAAAUAGCAUGAAAUUGAAGCUUUAAUUUGUUUAUGAGAUGAUUUUAUUAGGUAAUUUCAAUAGAAAUUGAUUUGUAGGACCUAAUUGUGAAAAAGUUUGGGAUCAAAGUCUAGUGCUAAAAUUCUAAUUUCCAAAGGUUAUAAAGUAGUUUAAAGUGAUAGAAUAAAGUGUUAAUUGAGAAAAAUCAGGUCAAUUAAGAGGUUAAUUGAGCAGGGAUGAAAUUAUCAAUUAUUGAAAGCUUAAGGGAAAAAUGGUAAUUAACACCAUGCACUAAAACAGUUUGGACAGCAACAGUAGGUUAACUUUGAAAAAUCACCAUAAAAUUGUGUAAAUUGAAUUAGAGGAUGAAAAAAAUAUUAAAAUAAAGCUUAUUGAGUCUGGUUUCUUAUAAAAGAAACGGUGUAAGCAAUGAAAUUGUAAAUCAUGAGAUAUAAUAGAUUUUGUGAGACAAUGUCAGAAUGAAUUCGGGUUCCCCUGUUCUGACUUUGGAAAAUUAUCAAAAAUUGGAGAAAAAUAAUUAGGGGCUUAAAUUUAUAUGUUUAAAAUACUUAAUGAGUCUAUUUUCAAAAUAAACAAACGAGAACAUCAUCUGAAUUCUGUACAAUGAGAUAAUUAAUUUUUAGUGAAGAGGGGUCAGAACUGUCGAACAGUGAAAUAGGGGAAACUUUAAAGAAUAAACUGUACUUAUUGGCUAAACCAAAAAUUCUGAAAAUUUUAUGGCUAAACCAAAAAUUCUGAAAAUUUUAUGGUAAGAAGAUAUGUGAGUCUAGUUUCAGGGAAAAUUAGCGGAUCUUAAUUUGGAGUUCUGUAGCUCAAGAUAUAAAUAAUUUAGUGAUUAUGACUCAAUGAGACAGAUUUGAAUGCACUAUAAAUAAUAAUGGAAUUAUAGAGAAUGUUAUAUAUGAACAUGAAAUGUAUUAGAUUAAUGAUUAAAUUUAUUUAUUUAGAUCCAAAAAAUUCAAAUACGAAGCUAGAUCGAGGAAAAGAAAAGGUUUGGGAUUAGUAGAUUUUUGUUUACGAACAAGUAUCGAGGUAAGUUCGUGUAACUUGAAUUAUAUUCUUAAAUGCUUGAAAUAUAUUUUUCUUGAUGUGAAUAUGAUUCGGAUGUUUUAAAAAAAUUCUUAUGAAUUCGAUAUAGUCUCGGUUUAUUCCCGAUGUAUGUUUUGGGCAUUGGAGGUCCAUCCAAGGGAUGUCAUGACAUGUUUCGAAAAAUGAAUAUUAUUUAACUCGUAAUAAUGGAAAGUUAAUUUUGUAAAAUUUGGUAAUGCCUCAUACCUUAUUCCGGCUGCGAAUACGGGUAGGAGGUAUUACAUUUGUUGGUAUCAAAGCUACGGUUUAGUCGGUUCUCACACCGACGUAACAAAUACGAGAUUAGCUAUACAUGCCAUUUAAAUUAUUAUUGAUAGUAAAUGCCUGCCGAUCGAGCUCAACCCGAGGAAGCCAGGAGUCAUGCUCCGGCUUCAGAACAAAGAGAAUUUGAAGCUACUAGUAGUAGAAGGUACUAGAGAAUGAGCCAAAGUGAAGAGGCUAAAAUGGCCUUCUAUCAAAUGAUGAAUGAAUGGUUUACUAAGUAUAGAAAAACUAACCCUGUAGUGCAGUAAGCUCAAGCUCCUCCUCCUCCUCCCCCACCGGUUCUCGAGAUUCCACAGGGUACAUGUACUGAAUCUAUCAAAAAAGGAAAAGCUCCAGUUGAUAAAAUAAGAAAAUAUGGGGCUGAAGAAUUCAGAGUCGCACUUGAUGAUGAUCCCGAACGGGCUGAGUUUUGGUUAGAAAAUACUACUCGGGUUUUAGAGGAAUUAUCUUGCACACCAGAAGAGUGUUUGAAAUGUGCAAUACCAUUGCUAAAAAAUACAGCUUACCAUUGGUGGACUACUAAAACUUCAAUUGUUCUGAAAAAACAAAUUACAUGGGAAUUCUUUAAGACCGAGUUUAGAAAGAAAUAUAUCAGUCAGAGGUUCCUCGAUCAGAAGAGAAAAGAAUUUCUUGAGCUGAAACAGGGUAACAGAUCAGUACUUGAGUAUGAAAAAGAAUUUGUCCGAUUGAGUAAAUAUGCUCGGGAAUGGGUACAAUUAGAAGCCGAAAUGUGCAAACGAUUCAAAGAAGGGUUGAAUGAAGAAAUUAAGCUAUUGAUCGGAAUUCUUGAAAUUCGAGAGUUUGCUACCCUUGUAGAGCGAGCUUAUCAAGCAGAAGAACUGAGCAAAGAAAAGAAACAGGUUGGGAGGGAAGCUCGAAUUCUUUGUAAAAGACCGAUGGGAAAAUCUCAGUUUUCUACCUCAAAGAUUGAAGAAAUUCCAGGAUUGCUCUACCUCAGCUACUAGGUAUUCUGGUAGAGAGCGAGGUUUUCAACGCACUAAUCCAAGACCUUCCACUCCAUCAGUGACCAGUGUUGGCAGUGUUGGUACCCCUAAGCCGAGAUGCCAGUACUGUAAUAAAACUCAUUUUGGAAAAUCUCGAUUAAAGAGCGGGGCUUGUUACCGAUGUGGUUCUUUUGAUCAUUUCCUCAGAGAUUGUCCAGAAAGGGGUGAAAAAGAAAUUGAACAGAUAUCAAAGCCGAGUAAUCUAGUUUCGAGGGGUAGACCACCUCGACCAUCUGGUAAUGUCAGUGGUAGUCGAUGAGCUACAAAAGAUACUGUAGGCAGGCCUGAGGCGCGAGCACCUGCUAGGACAUAUGCCAUCCGUGCUAGAAAAGAUGCGUCAGCACCCGAUGUUAUUACUGGUAGAUUUUCUUUACUUGAUACUGACAUUACUUCAUUGAUUGAUCCUGGCUCUACACAUUCAUACAUAUGCACAAAAUUAGUAUGUGUUAAAAAUUUAUCUGUUGAACCUACUGAAUUUGUGGUUAAAGUCUCGAACCCCCUGAGCCAGUUUGUGAUAGUGGAUAAAGUUUGUAAAAAUUGUCUAAUGAUGGUAAAAAGUAUUUGUUUUCUAGUUGACUUGAUGUUAUUGCCUUUUGAUGAGUUCAAUGUGAUAUUGGGUAUGGAUUGGCUAACUCAACAUAAUGCAGUAGUAAACUGCAGACAGAAAUAUAUUAUGCUGAAGUGUCAGAAUGGAUAAUUACUUUGGGUUAAAUCUGAUCAGACAGAAGAAUUAUCUAAUCUGAUUUCGGUUAUGACAGCUCAGAGGUGUGUCAGAAAAGGGUAUGAUGCUUAUUUGGCAUAUGUGUUAGACUCUAAGGUAUCUGAGUCAAAGAUACAGGCAGUGCCAUUUGUAUGUGAAUUUUUCGAUGUGUUUCUAGAGGAAUUACCAGGGUUGCCACUAGAAAGAGAAGUGGAAUUUUCUAUAGAUUUGAUUCCGGGAACUACUCCAAUCUCCAUAGCUCCGUAUCAUAUGGCUCCUACGAAAUUAAAGGAGUUAAAGACACAGUUGCAAGAACUUGUUGACAGGGGUUUUGUUCGGCUAAUUCAUUCACCUUGGGGUGCUCCAGUUCUAUUUGUGAAAAAGAAGGACGGGUUCUUAAGAUUAUGUAAUGAUUACCAACAGCUCAACAAAGUCACUAUAAAGAAUAAGUACCCAUUGCCUCGAAUUGACGAUCUGUUUGACUAGUUGAAGGGUGCCACUGUAUUUUCAAAGAUUGAUAUCUGAUCGGGCUACUAUCUAUUACGGGUAAAAGAGUCAGAUGUACCGAAAACAUCUUUUAGAACUAGGUAUGGGCAUUUUGAGUUUCUAGUUAUGCCGUUUAGGCUGACUAAUGCACCUACAGUAUUUAUGGAUCUGAUGAAUCAGAUAUUUAGAUCGUACUUAGACAGGUUCGUGGUAGUUUUUAUUGUCGAUAUCUUGGUCUAUUCCCGAGAUGAAAAUGAGCAUGUAGAACAUUUGAGAAUUGUGUUGUAAAUUCUGCGAGAGAAGCAGCUAUAUGCUAAAUUUAGUAAAUGUGAAUUUUGGCUUCGAGAAGUGGGUUUUCUCGGACAUAUUGUAUCCACAGAAGGUAUCAGGGUAGAUCCGAGUAAAGUCUCAGCAAUUGUCAAUUGGAGUCUACCGAAAAAUGUAUCCGAAGUUAGAAGUUUCUUGGGUUUAACUUGUUAUUAUCGGAGAUUUGUACAGGGGUUCUCUAUGAUAGCUUUUUCGAUGACCCAUUUAUUAUAGAAAGAUGUUAAAUUCGAGUGGUCUGAUGAAUGCCAGCAGAGUUUCGAUCGAUUGAAAGAUUUGUUAACGAAAGCACCUAUGUUGGUACAGCCUGAACCGGGUAAAGAAUUUAUUAUUUAUACUGAUGCAUCAUUAAAUGGUUUAGGUUGUGUCUUGAUGCAAGAAGGUAAAGUUAUAGUCUAUGCUUCGAGACAACUUAAGACACAUGAAAGAAAUUACUCGGUGAAUGAUCUUGAAUUAGCUGCCAUUGUAUUUGCAUUAAAAAUAUGGCGGCAUUACUUGUAUGGUGAGAAAUGUCAUAUUUUUACUGAUCAUAAAAGUUUGAAAUAUCUAAUGACACAGAAAAAUCUGAAUUUGAGACAGUGUAGGUGGCUUGAAUUGAUAAAGGACUAUGAUUUGAUUAUUGAUUACCAUCCGGGUAAGGCUAAUGUUUUUGCUGAUGCUUUAAGUCGAAAAUCUCUGUUUGCUUUGCGAGCUAUGAAUGCCCGAUUGUCUUUGGUUGAUGAUGGUUCAGUCGUAGCUGAGUUGAGAGUUAAACCGACAUUUCUACAACAAAUAUAUGAAGCUCAGAAAAAUGAUGAGAAGCUACAGGCUAAACGGGUACAAUGUGAGUCAGGUAAUGAUUUAGAAUUUUAGUUGGGACUGAUGGUUGUUUAUUAUUCAGAGGCAGAGUAUAUGUACCAAAGAAUUCAGAGCAUGUAUAGAAGAUUUUACACGAGGCACACAGUGGUAUUAUGUCCGUACAUCCGGGAGGUAAUAAAAUGUAUAAUGAUUUGAAAAAAUAUACUGGUGGCCAAGUAUGAAACAUGAUAUUUCUGAGUUUGUAUCAAGAUGUCUGAUAUGUCAACAAGUCAAAGCAGAACAUCAGGUACCUUCAGGAUUGCUCUAUCCAAUUACUAUACCGGAAUGGAAAUGGGAAAGUAUUACUAUAAAUUUUGUGUUGGGAUUACCAUUGUCACCAAAGAAGAAAGAUUCCAUUUGGGUGAUCGUUGAUCGAUUAACAAAAUCAGCAUAUUUUAUCCCGGUACGUAUAGAUUAUUCUCUAGAUAAUGUGGCUGAACUGUAUAUAUCUGAGAUUUUCAGGCUACAUGGUGUGCCAAUCUCUAUUAUCUCUGAUAGAGAUUCCCGUUUUACAUCUCGUUUCUAGGACAAAUUGCAAGAAGCCUUGGGUACUCAAUUGCAUUUCAGCACUGCAUUUCAUCCGCAGACAGAUGGCCAAUCUGAGCGUGUAAUUCAGGUACUGGAAGAUAUGCUCCGAUGUUGAAUAUUAGAGUUUGAAGGUAAUUGGGAGAAGUAUCUACCUUUGAUUGAAUUUUCUUACAAUAACAGUUAUCAGUCCAGUAUUAAAAUGGCUUCGUAUGAAGCUUUGUAUGGUAAAAAAUGUAGAACAGCGUUAUAUUGGACAGAGCUCAGUGAAAAGAAGAUACAUGGGGUUGAUUUGAUCCGGGAAACAGAAGAAAAAGUAAAAGUGAUUCGGGAUAGUCUAAAAGCAGCUUCCGAUCAUUGGAAGUAGCUUCCGACCGUCAGAAGUCAUAUGCUGAUCUUAAACGAAAAGAGAUUGAAUUUUAGGUGGGUGAUAAGGUAUUCCUAAAAGUGUCUUCUUGGAAUAAAGUUCUCCGGUUCGGUCGAAAGGGUAAAUUGAGUCCAAGAUUUAUCGGGUCGUAUGAAAUCAUAGAAAGAAUUGGACCGGUCGCUUAUCGAUUGGCAUUACCACCGGAACUCGAUAGAAUUCAUAAUGUUUUUCAUGUGUCUAUGCUACGACAGUAUUGAUCAGAUCAUUCACAUGUUAUAUCUCCAUCAGAAGUGAAGAUUUAGCCACAUAUGACUUACAGUGAAGAACCGGUCAAGAUAUUAGCACGAGAAUUAAAGGAGCUUAGAAAUAAAAAGAUAAAUUUGGUGAAAGUAUUAUGGAAAAAGAACGGGAUUGAGGAAGCAACAUGGGAACUGAAGGAGGUAAUGAGGAAACAAUACCCGAACCUCUUUACUGUAAGAUUUUCGAGGACGAAAAUCCUUAAAGGAGGGGAAAGUUGUAAUGGCCUAAAUUCAAGGUUAUCGGAACAAUGGUUUCAUAGCCACAAAUUUGAUUUAAAGAUAAAUUUAUUUUAAUAUUUUUGCAUGAAUAUUGAUAUCAUAAAAAAAAUCGUAUGAAAAUAUAGAUAGAAGAAUUUUACCGAUUUAGUUGUUAGUUAGAGAAGGAAAUUAUUGAGGAAAUUGGGUAAAAAUAAGGUAUCGAGACCUCGAUCUCGCAAAAUCGAGUCAAAAAUAUUUUUAUAAAUAUUUGUGAAAUGUUAGUAAUAUGGUAAUAAAUUUUGUUAGAAAAUUUCUACGUUUGGGUAGUUAAUUAAGUGAAAAGGACUAAAUUGAAAAGAGUGUAAAAGUUACUAGAAGGAUUAAAUAGCUCAAUUGUUAAAUGAGAAGGGACAUAAAUUGAAAAUAAGCCCAAAAUGAGAUAUUUUGGGCAUAAGCUGAGAAAAAUCAGGAGAAUUGUGAAACAAGGGUAAAAUGCGAAAAUAAUAAAUUUUACUAACAUAAAAAUAGGACCAAAUUGGAAUAUCUAGAAUUCUCUUCAUAUUUUCUUCAUUAUCAUCAGCCAAAAAACAUCCUAGGGGUUUAUUCAAGCUGAUACUUCAUAAUUUUUGUACCAAGUGAGUAUUUUCUUGCCUUUUUCUUGUAAUUUUUGUGUUUCUAAGACUUUUACAACUAGGUCCUAUUACUAAAUUCAUUAGUUUUUGAUUUUAUGAAUGAAAUUGAAAGUUUCUAUGAAUAUGUGCUGGAAGUUUAUGAUGAGAUAGCAUGAAAUUGAAGCUUUAAUUUGUUUAUGAGAUGAUUUUAUUAGGUAAUUUCAAUAGAAAUUGAUUUGUAGGACCUAAUUGUGAAAAAGUUUGGGAUCAAAGUCUAGUGCUAAAAUUCUGAUUUCCAAAGGUUAUAAAGUAGUUUAAAGUGAUAGAAUAAAGUGUUAAUUGAGAAAAAUCAACUCAAUUGAGAGGUUAAUUAAGUAGGGAUGAAAUUAUCAUUUAUUGAAAGCUUAGGGGAAAAAUGGUAAUUAACAUCAUGCACUAAAACGGUUUGGACAGUAGCAGUAGGUUAACUUUGAAAAAUCACCAUAAAUUGUGUAAAUUGAAUUAAAGGAUGAAAAAAAUAUUAAAUUAAAUUUUAUUGAGUCUAGUUUCUUAUAAAAGAAACGGUGUAAGCAAUGAAAUUGUAAAUCAUAAGAUAUAAUAGAUUUUGUGAGACAAGGUCAGAAUGAAUUCGGGUUCCCCUGUUCUUACUUUGGAAAAUCAUCAAAAAUUGGAGAAAAAUAAUUAGGGGCUUAAAUUUAUAUGUUUAAAAUACUUAUUGAGUCUAUUUUCAAAAGAACCAAACGAGAACAUCAUCUGAAUUCUGUACAAUGAGAUAAUUAAUUUUUAGUGAAGAGGGGUCGGAACUGUCGAGCAGUGAAACAGGGGAAACUUUAAAGAAUAAACUCUACUGAUUGGCUAAACCAAAAAUUCUGAAAAUUUUAUGGCUAAACCAAAAAUUCUGAAAAUUUUAUGGUAAGAAGAUAUGUGAGUCUAGUUUCGGGAAAAAUUAGCGGAUCUUAAUUUGGAGUUCUGUAGCUCAAGAUAUAAAUAAUUUAGUGAUUAUGGCACAAUGAGACAGCUUUGAAUGCACUAUAAAUAAUAAUGGAAUUAUAGAGAAUGUUACAUAUGAACAUGGAAUGUAUUAGAUUAAUGAUUAUAUUUAUUUAUUUAGAUCCAAAAAAUUCAAAUACGAAGCUAGAUCGAGGAAAAGAAAAGGUUUGGGAUUAGUAGAUUUUUGUUUACGAACAAGUAUCGAGGUAAGUUCGUGUAACUUGGAUUAUAUUCUUAAAUGCUUGAAAUAUAUUUUUCUUGAUGUGAAUAUGAUUUGGAUGUUUAUUAUAUUAUAAUUGAUGAAGUAUUGAUAUUCUUGAUGAAAAUAGAAAAUAAAUCCCGGUUGAAUGAAAGGAAAAUUCGAUGGAUCUUUGAAAAGGAAUUGACGGUAAAAAGGAUCUUGCCCUGAUGGGUGAUCCUAUCCUGAUAUAGCCCUCCCGAAGAAUAUGUGGAAAAUAGAUUUAGCCCGAACAGGUAAUCCGAAUUAGGGUCUGAAUUUAGCCUGGACUGGUAAUUCAGAUCCAAGCUCAUUAGAAUAAUUAUCAUUGUUGGGGAUUUAGCCUGGACUGGUAAUCCCGACAAUACUCUAUGAGUUUAUAUUACAAGGGAUUUAGCCUAGACUGGUAAUCCCGCUAUAAGGAUGAGGUUCGCGGGAGUGUGCUCUCUGAAAUGGAAAUGUGCGCACAUGAAUAUGAAUUGACGGACCCGGACCGUUACGCUAAAGUGUACCCCCAAAAAUCCAUCGAAAUUUCGAGAAAUUCAACGUGAUAAAUAUGGAAAAUAACAAGGGAAUGGAAAUCAUGGUAUUGAUGAGCUCAUCAAUCAUGGUAUAUAUUAUUGAUACAUGGAAAUUAUUGGACUAAUUUGAAUGUUGAGUUGUGCAUGAUAGGGGAAUAAUGUAUUGAAUGGGUGUAUGAAUGUUUAUCGCAUUGUAUUGAAAAUAUUAGGUAAGUAUAAUUCUUGUUACAUGAAGUUAGUACGCACAAAGUGCUUACCCUGUUUCUUUUUCCCCUGUUUUGUAGUGUUAAGAGCUCGGAGGUCGGAUUCGGUCAGAGACGUAUCACACUGUCAACCUCAAUAUUUCGGUAUAUAAAGAAACUUUAUUUUGGAAAUCAAUGGCAUGUAUAAGCUAAUAAAGUAAAUGUUAAUGUGAAAUGAAUAUAAUGUUAGCCAUUCGUAUGGCUAACAAAUGUUGGUUUUGGUAUGUGAUGAGGUUAUCUUAAAAAUAUGUUUGAAUCUAUCUUGAAAAUAUGUUGAAAUGGAUUGGUUGGUUUGGAUUAGUCUCAGUUUAAAAUUGCAGGGAAGGUUAGAAAUUUAUAAAGGGAUUAUAUUGAGUUUAAAAAAAAUUCUUAUGAAUUCGAUAUAGUCUCGGUUUAUUCCCAAUGUAUGUUUUGGGCUUUGGAGGUCUAUCCAAGGGACGCCAUGACAUGUUUCGAUAAAUGAAUAGUAUUUAACUCGUAAUAAUGGAAAAUUAAUUCGAUAAAAUCUGGUAAUGCCUCAUACCCUAUUCCGGCGACGAAUACGGUAGGGGGUAUUACAAGGCAUUAUCAAGUUGUGAUUGAUUGUGAAAUCGAGCUGAAAGGGUCAAGUAAGUGUUAAGUUCAAUGUUAAUAAAAAAAAUAAGGUAAGCUUGGUAUUUGAAAUGGUGAUAUAAGUUAUACAUGAUAUAAAGUGAAUUAUAUGUAUUUACAUGAAUGCUCAUAUUCGGCUAAAUGAUGUAUUUGUGAUAUUAAAAGUGAGAGUAAUGUGUGCUUAUGAGUAUAUGUGCAUUCGGUCAGAUGAUGUUAAAUUACUAAUAUUUUCUGAUGUUAUAUGAAUUCGCUAGUUUGAUAAGUGUAGAUGUGAUUAAGUGCUACUUGAUUCGACCUAGUUAAAUUAUAUUAGAUAUCUUUGAAAUGAUUUAUUUUCGUAUAACUUAGUGAUAACACUCUAGAAUAACGCAUUUUUAUGUAUUAAUUAUGUGUUUAUUCUGAGUAUGAUCCUGCUAAUUUUAGCUAUUUAUGAUCUUUUAUCUCAUAGGGACUAAAUUUGAGGCAAAAGCAAAAUUAAAGGCCAAAAGCAUGCAUUUAGAGAUAAAAUGGGCUAAGGUGCAAUACAAGGAAAAGUUGGUGCCAAAAGUGCAAGCAUGGAGGACACAAGGGUUGAAAUGCAAAAAGAAGAGAUUUUAUUCUAUCAGACUUUAUUUUAAUUAUAUUAGGAUAAUUAAUAUUAAGAUAAUUAUUAAGGAUUAUUUAAUUUUAGGAUUUAAUUUUAUUUAUCUUUAUUUAUCUUCAAUUAAAUGUAUUUAUCUUCUGGGAGUUUAAGUAGGAUUAGGCUAUCUUCCCUAGCACUAUAAAUAGGGGGUGAAGUGACUCAAAAGGGAUCCAUCUUUUUCUGUAAACACUCUCUCCCAAAAGUCUAGGAUUUUGUUCUUCUCAUAUUGCCUUUCAAUAAAAUCUCCAUUUUUAUUUUAUUUAUUUUCUUUUCCACCACAACCAUGAGCCACUAAACCUAUCUAGCUGAAAGUUGUCGGUAUUCCCCAAAAAGGGUUCUUGAGGCUUAAAGUCUGUACUUAGCCUCCUCGCCGAGUAUUCAUCAUUUCUCCGCACUACGGGGCUGAUGCUUCCGUCCAUGUCCCUUAAGAAGUAAGCUUUUCAACAUAUACAAAGGCGGCUGCUUUGUAUGUUUUGGGAAGUUUGCACAGUCGGUUCGUUAGCUUACUACAUCAGAGGUUGGCGAGCCUAAGAGACAAAAUGGCGUAGGAUUUUCCAUUGAGAAGCGUUGAUCUAGCAUAAGACGAACCCACAGAAACGAUUGUUGGCUAGAAUCAGGUUCCACUAAAUUGUAAGUCUAAAUUCUUGGAGCUGGUGGUCAUAGGCGUCCUCUUCCACUAUAACUGGCUUAUUCGGUUUGGGAAGGAUCAUCUAAAAGCCGAGGAUGGAACCCAAGACGGAACGAGACAACUGGAGGCUGUAACCCCCUAUAAGAAUUUCAUUUCUCUCAACUUUAUUUUUAAUUUCUCGAAUUUUUGAUUCAAUAUUCUUAAUUCUAUUUUUAUUUUAUUUUUCAUUUCUAGAUCUAGACAUUUAAUUCUGUUAUUUUUUUAUUUUAUUUUUUCUAGGAGCACAGGUUUUUUUGGGCAAUAUUCUGCCUGGGAUUUCACGGAACAAGAUAUUGUGCAAGUCCAGUCCUUGAGGAUUUGACCCUACUUCCCUUUUACUAUUCUUUUUCAUUAUUUAUUAGGGAUAGGAUAUUUUUGGCGCUUUUAACAACCGCAUCAAAUUUUGGCGCCAAUAUCUUGUUCUGUGAAAUCCCAAGCAGAAUCUUGCCCAAGAAAACUUGCGUUCUUGGAAAAAAAUAAAAUAAAUAAAUAACAUAAUUAAAGGUUUGGAUCUGGAUACGAAAAAUAAAAUAAAAACAUAAUUAAAAAUAUUGAAUCGAAAAUUCGAGAAAUUAAAAAUAGAGUUGAGAGAAAGGAAAUUCUUAUAGGGGGUUCCAACCUCCAGUUGUCUCGUUCCACCUUGGGUUCAAUUCUCGGCUUUUAGAUGAUCCUUCCCAAACCGAAUAAGCCAGUUAUAGUGGAAGAGGACGCCUACGACCACCAGCUCCAAGGAGUUAGACUUACGAUUUAGUGGAACCUGACUUUAGCAAACAAUCGCUCUUGUGGGUUCGUCUUAUGCUAGAUCAACGCUUCUCAAUGGUGAAUCUCAUGCCAUUUUGUCUCUUGGGCUCACCAACAUCUGACGCAGUAAGCUAACGAACUGACUAUGCAAUCUUCCCAAAACAUACAAAGCGGCCGCCUUUGCAUACGUUGAAAAGCUUACUUCUUAAGGGACAUGGAUGGAAGUGUUAGCCCCAUAGUGCGAAGAAAUGAUGAAUACUCAGCGAGGAGGCUAAGUACAGACUCUAAGCCUUAAGAACCCUUUUUGGGGAAUAUCGACAACUUUCGGCUAGAUGAGUUUAGUGUCUCAUGGUUGUGGUGGAAAAGAAAAUAAAUAAAAUAAAAAUGGAGAUUUUAUUGAAAGGCAAUAUGAGAAGAACAAAAGUCUAGACUUUUGGGGAGAGAGUGUUUACAGAAAAAGAUAGAUCCCUUUUGAGUCACUUCACCCCCUAUUUAUAGUGCUAGGGAAGAUAGUCUAAUCCUACUUAAACUCCCAAAAGAUAAAUACAUUUAAUUGAAGAUAAAUAAAAUAAAAUAAAAUCCUAAAAUUAAAUAAUCCUUAAUAAUUAUAUUAAUAUUAAUUAUCCUAAUAUAAUUAAAAUAGAGUCUGAUUGAAUAAAAUCUCUUCUUUUUGCAUUUCAACCCUUGUGUCCUCCAUGCUUGCACUUUUGGCACCAACUUUUCCUUGUGUCGCACAUUGGCCUAUUUUAUCUUUAAAUUCAUGCUUUUGGCUCUUAAUUUUGCUUUUGCCUCAAAUUUAGUCCCUAUGAGAAAAAGAUCAUAAAUAGCUCAAAUUAGCAAGAUCAUACUCAGAAUAAAUACAUAAUUAAUACAUAAAAAUACGUUAUUCUAGAGUGUUAUCACUUACUAAGCUAUUCAAGCUUACUGUGUGUGUGUUUGUUCGUUGUUUUAUAGUUUUGGAAUCAAGUUACGAGCUCGAGGAUCGUCAGAGUAAUCAGACAUACUAUCGAUCUCUAAUUUGGUAUUUUAAAAGUUGAACCUUAUACUUAUGGCAUGUAUAGGCUAGCUAGUGUUUUGGGUUAGUUUUGAAUUUGUAAAUAUUAAACCAUGCGAAAAUGGCUAGAUAUGAUGCUUAAGUUUAAGCAAAUUUCGGUUAUGGUAUAUAUAUAUGUGUGGCGUAUUUGGUAUAUGUAUGAUGAUAUAGUCUUGAAAGUUGGCAUGAUUUGCAAUUAUGGUUUGUUAUAAUUUGAUUUAAGAGAAUUAGGUAUAGUUGAUGAAUUAGUUCUUAUUGAUGACUAUAAAUUACCUUGUGAUUUGGUAGUGUUUAAAUCAUGGAACUAAAUGUCCAGUUAUAUGUUAACGUUAAUUUUUCUUAUAUUUGUUAAGUGUGGAUUAUUGCUAUGGUAUUAUACUUAAAUUGAUAUACGUAUUGCAAUUAGAAUUGAUAAUUGGUAUAAUGAGUCUUGUUUACUAAAUUAGUUUUAUAAGUGACCUAUGAUAUGUUACAGGAUUAAUAUUAUUUAUACAUAUGUAUAGGUCCGGUUUUGGCAUGUAAUGCAUUAGUAGAUUUGUUUUCUAUAUUAUAUAUAUUUAUAUAUAAUGAUUAUGUUUUAUGAGAUGUCUUGGCAUGUAAAUGAAGUGUUUGUUUUAUAUUUGAAAAUGACUAGGAUACGGCUUAGUAAGAUAGUAAAUUAAUAAAUGACAUAUUUGUGCAUAUGUGUAUGUAUUAGAUUAUGGAUUUAAAAGAUGUGAUCAACAAUGAUGUAUGGUAAUUUAGCAAAAUUAGACUCGUAUUAUUGGAAAGUUGAUGUCCGUUUGGGUAUAAACAUUUGCGCAUAAUUGAAUGAUUAUAAUGGUAUAUUUUCAUUUAUGUUUUGGCUAAGCAUUGAACAAAAAGGCUAAAUAAUAGUAAUGUACCGAUUGUGAUAUGGUCAUAUGUUGUGGUUUGACUUGCUCGUUUUAUAUGUAUAUUGUAAUUAAUAAAAUUGCUUAUUUUGAUAUGCGCAUAGGUUUAUAUAGGGAAGUGUUAUUUUGAUACUUUGUUUAUGUAUUAAAUGAAUUCGAAUAUAUAUUAAUUCCGUGUCAUGAAAUGUUUUAAAGUCGGUUGGGUUUAAGAGAUUUGACCAUGAUUAUGUGUAUAUACAUGUGUUAGUUCGAAAGUUGUGUCGGGUCUGGUAAUGCCUCGUAACCCCAUUUCGGCGACGGAUACGGGUUAAAGGUGUUACAAUGAUACUUAAGUGAUUAGAUCGUUCCAAUUUUUCAUACAGAGCAAGAUCAACUUAAGUGUUGGUUUUAGUAAUAUGUGGCUCAAAUUUUCUUGUGGCAUAGUCAAUAUCCAAGCACCCCAACUAGAGAAGAAUAUUCUCCUUCCAGUUUAAAGUUCUCACUAGUUAAUUUAGGGAUGUCUAGUUUAUUAUCAAACAUAUUCACAGGUUGUAAAACUACAAAAUGAAUAGACAUACAUGCUUAAAAUUUGAGGCAAACAUAAAUCAUAAUUGACCAAUGCAAAUUAUGUAAAUAAUGAAUCUAGUGUCAUAAAAAUUACCUGUAGGCUAAAUUUUUAAUUCAAUUAGAUCAAUUUUAUGAUAGAAUUAUUUACUAUCCUUUUGAUAAAAAAUAUUAAAUUCAUUUUCAUAAUCCCGGUAAGUAACUAUAAAAGGGCAUCUAAUAAUUUUAUCUUAAUAAAUUAUGCAAUGGGAUUUAAUACCUAUGUUGUCCGAAUGUGAUUUUUAACUUUAAUAAUUUUAUUUAACAAAAGAUGUUGUAGCUAGUCUUUAACUAAAUAAAGUUAUGAAAAUCACUUUACUAGAUAUUAAUUCUUAAAAUUUAUUCAAGAUUGUUGUUAAGUCAUUAUGCAACAUCUAAUGUCUAUAAACCUUAUGAGAUCCUUACUACAAUAAAUAAUUUUAUUGCUAAUAUUGUGACUAAUUCUCUAAUUAAAUAAAAUUAUUUGAAUACCCAGACAUAUAUUCUAAAGUUUUAUUGCUAAAUACCUUAUGCAAUAAGUCUAAAAUUUUUAUGCACCUAAAAACUUAUGUAAUUAAUAACCAGAUAAUUCACGUACAACCAUUUACUUCAGGCACAUAAAAAAUAUUCAAAUAACAAAUUUCUAAAAUUUUUCUUUAAAUUAUUUAUAACAUAAUUAAUUUUAGAAAUUUUACUUUAAUAAAAUCUAAUGAUUAAUUCAAAGAAACAUGACAUUGUUAUUUUGAGAAAUUUACAAACUUUUAAAACAAGAUAAAGCGGAGAUUUAUCAUACUCUGAUACAAAAUGGUAGCAUAAAUAACAAAUUACAAUAUAAAAUAAUGGAAAAGAUCGACAUAAAUACCUCCAACUAUUAUUUGAACCAAAUGUCAAAAUCCAAAUAUUGUUACACCAUUGCCAAGCACGCCAAACCACCGACGAGCACGUAAAAUUUAACUAUACGAAAAGCUGAAAAUUGUCAAAAUCUUCUUAAGUACUUGAAAACCUCACUAGAUGGUGUAUAUAAUUCCUUAUCUUUGAAAUGGAAUUGCUUUAGUUUUUUUUGGUGUUUAGGGAUCUUAUGUUAGUUGGUAUUUAUAGUGGUAUUUAUAGGAAUCUUAUGUUAGUUGGUAUUUAUGGUGGUGGUUCCUCAUAAAAAAUCACCAACUACACAUCUCAUUAUCUCACAUACAAAGACAUGGAUGUUGAGGACAACAAAAUUGGGAAUGGACAGCAAAACGUGAGGGUUAUUCUCACAAACUAAUAACAGUUCUAACUAUACAUCUCAUUAUCUCACAUACAAAGACAUAGUAAUCUGUGUUAAGGAAUCUUACAUUCUCUUAAUCGUAUUACUAGAGAUUUAUCCUACAUUUCGUUCGAGGAGAAAUGGAAGGAAAGAAAAGUAAGGGAAAAUAAUAUUUUUUUUCUUCCUUUGUUUGGAUAGAGUAUUUAAUUUAAGAAAGAGAAAAUAAGCUCUAUUUUCUUUUUACCCACAAGACAAAAGUUUAGGACAUAAAAACAUAUAAUUUUUGUCAUUUCUUUCUUUUCUAAAUAAUUUUAUGAAUGAUGAAGUUGUUAUAAUAUUAUAAUUAAUCAUUUCAUUUCCACUAUUUAACCAAACCAAAAUGAUUAGAAUUACCUGUCCUUUCAUUUCACUAGUUUUAACCAUCUAAAUAAAAUCAUAUGUAAUCAUUUAUUUUUCUUACUUUUACUCUCCUCUACUAUUUUCAAAUCUUUUUAUAACUAAUUAUAUCUUUAUUAUUUUUAAUGAAAAUUGCUAAAUACAAAGAUUGAAAAUUUAAACCAAAUUAAUAGAAUUGAUAAAAAAAAAACUAAAGUUACCCUUUUAUUUAAAAUUAAUCUUAGGGGUUAAUGAAUUUUUCGUCAAACCUCAAAAUAAGUACAUAUUUUUCAUAUCAUAGUAGGUAACAAAAUAGACAUUUAAAAGUUAUGAAAGAAAAUGGAAAAUAAACUUGGGGUUUUAAAAUAAAAAUUUUAAAAUUGCCGUCCAUAAGCAGGGUCAAGAGGCAAGUGGUGGUGGGCAAGAGGAACACAAUGACAGCCAGAGCCCGUUAUUGCUUUUGACUUGGUCUUUUAAUUUAUUUAUUAUUCACAAAUUCUACACCCAAAAGGAGGCAAGCCGAGUAGCCGGUUCGUGGUCGGUGAGCAUUGUCUCGCUACACCACUUGCUCUGGCCCCUCCAUAUAAACCUCUGUUCCCUUGUAUUCAAACCCAAGCCUAGCUUCUCCCGAAAAACAAACUUCUUUUAAUAAAUUUAAAAACUAUGGUGAAGAAGGAACUGUACAUAACCGUACCCAGCGUUUUCCGGUGUCCAAUUUCACUUGACGUGAUGAAAUCUCCGGUUAGCCUUUGUACGGGCGUUACCUACGAUCGUUCCAGCAUCCAAAAAUGGCUCGAAUCUGGUCACGACACCUGUCCAACCACCAUGCAGGUUCUUCCCUCCAAGGAUUUCAUCCCUAACCUUACUCUCCAUCGUCUAAUUAAUCUCUGGAUCCAGUCUUCUACUCUCCGGCCAGGCUCUAACUCUCCGCGGCUUCUUCUGGCGACGCCUCCUGCGAUCUCCGAGGUUCAGGCUAAGCUAUUGAUGGAGAAGGUUGAGAGGGAGCGCUGCGACGAUUCUUUGUCUAAGGUUGCCGAGUUCGUAAGCUGUUGCGAAGAGAACCGGAAAUUUGUAGCUAGAUUCGACGGUUUCGUUGAGGUAAUCGCCGGAGUUUUGAAAAGGAAAUGUGUGGAAAUCAAAGCUUUGGAAACGGCGGUUAGGAUUUUGGAUUUGAUUUUGAGCGAAAAUGGAGUCACAGAAGGGUUAAACAAAUUAAUCCUGAAAAGCAAUCAGGAAAGUAAAUUUUUAUCGGCAAUCGUUUUAAUUCUUCAACACGGAAGCCUGAACUCGAAGAUCAAGUCAGUCCGAGUUCUGGACUCACUAGCACUUGACUCGGAAUCCAAACGCAGGAUCUCCGACUCACAAGACCUUAUAUCCAUCCUUCUCCAGCUCCUGAAAACAAACAACAACGGAUCCUUAAACGACGCCGUUACUUCCAUUUUAACCACCAUUUCAAUAACGCGCUCCAUCAGGUCCCGCCUCAUCGAAAACGGCAUCGUUGAAAUCCUAUCAAACUCGCUCACCGAAAAGUCGUUGAAGUUGUUAGCAACGCUUAGCACUUGCAGCGAAGGGAGGUCAGCAAUCAGUUCCGAGCCAAAAUGCGCGGCGGCGAUCGUAGAAAAGCUGUUGAAGGUGUCGAAAAGGGGGACGGAGGACGCCGUAAC